GGGCGUAAAGGGCUCGUAGGUGGUUGAUCGCGUCGGAAGUGUAAUCUUGGGGCUUAACCCUGAGCGUGCUUUCGAUACGGGUUGACUUGAGGAAGGUAGGGGAGAAUGGAAUUCCUGGUGGAGCGGUGGAAUGCGCAGAUAUCAGGAGGAACACCAGUGGCGAAGGCGGUUCUCUGGGCCUUUCCUGACGCUGAGGAGCGAAAGCGUGGGGAGCGAACAGGCUUAGAUACCCUGGUAGUCCACGCUGUAAACGGUGGGUACUAGGUGUGGGGUCCAUUCCACGGGUUCCGUGCCGUAGCUAACGCUUUAAGUACCCCGCCUGGGGAGUACGGCCGCAAGGCUAAAACUCAAAGGAAUUGACGGGGCCCCGCACAAGCGGCGGAGCAUGCGGAUUAAUUCGAUGCAACGCGUAGAACCUUACCUGGGUUUGACAUGGAUCGGGAGUGCUCAGAGAUGGGUGUGCCUCUUUUGGGGUCGGUUCACAGGUGGUGCAUGGCUGUCGUCAGCUCGUGUCGUGAGAUGUUGGGUUAAGUCCCGCAACGAGCGCAACCCUUGUUCACUGUUGCCAGCACGUUAUGGUGGGGACUCAGUGGAGACCGCCGGGGUCAACUCGGAGGAAGGUGGGGAUGACGUCAAGUCAUCAUGCCCCUUAUGUCCAGGGCUUCACGCAUGCUACAAUGGCUGGUACAGAGAGUGGCGAGCCUGUGAGGGUGAGCGAAUCUCGGAAAGCCGGUCUCAGUUCGGAUUGGGGUCUGCAACUCGACCUCAUGAAGUCGGAGUCGCUAGUAAUCGCAGAUCAGCAACGCUGCGGUGAAUACGUUCCCGGGGCUUGUACACACCGCCCGUCAAGUCAUGAAAGUUGGUAACACCCGAAGCCGGUGGCCUAACCGUUGUGGGGGAGCCGUCGAAG
This 910-nucleotide ribosomal RNA is filed under the name Cutibacterium acnes. RNAcentral describes it as "bacterial SSU rRNA". It matches the Rfam family "Bacterial small subunit ribosomal RNA", at positions 556 to 1461 of the family's 1533-position model. The record is from RNAcentral. Lineage: Bacteria; Bacillati; Actinomycetota; Actinomycetes; Propionibacteriales; Propionibacteriaceae.